UAAAAGGCCCUUUUCAGGGCUUCAAAAAAAAAAAAAAAAGAAAAG
Molecule: non-coding RNA, 45 nt
Organism: Ovis aries (sheep)
Lineage: Eukaryota; Metazoa; Chordata; Mammalia; Artiodactyla; Bovidae
Source: Rfam